Molecule: ribosomal RNA, 384 nt
Filed under: uncultured bacterium
Lineage: Bacteria
Description: bacterial SSU rRNA
Rfam family: Bacterial small subunit ribosomal RNA
Source: RNAcentral
AUUGAACGCUGGCGGCAUGCCUUACACAUGCAAGUCGAACGGUAACGCGGGGCAACCUGGCGACGAGUGGCGAACGGGUGAGUAAUACAUCGGAACGUGCCCAGUAGUGGGGGAUAGCCCGGCGAAAGCCGGAUUAAUACCGCAUACGACCUACGGGUGAAAGCGGGGGACCGCAAGGCCUCGCGCUAUUGGAGCGGCCGAUGUCAGAUUAGGUAGUUGGUGGGGUAAAGGCCUACCAAGCCUACGAUCUGUAGCUGGUCUGAGAGGACGACCAGCCACACUGGGACUGAGACACGGCCCAGACUCCUACGGGAGGCAGCAGUGGGGAAUUUUGGACAAUGGGCGAAAGCCUGAUCCAGCCAUGCCGCGUGCGGGAAGAAGGCC